GACGAGCAUCACAAACGUUGUUCGGAAUCACUGGGCGUAAAGGGCGCGUAGGCGGACUUGUAAGUCGGGAGUGAAAACUCGGGGCUCAACCCCGAGCCUGCUUCCGAAACUGCGAGUCUUGAGGACCGGAGAGGAAAGUGGAAUUCCUAGUGUAGCGGUGGAAUGCGUAGAUAUUAGGAAGAACACCAGUGGCGAAGGCGACUUUCUGGACGGUUCCUGACGCUGAGGCGCGAAAGCUAGGGGAGCAAACAGG
This 253-nucleotide ribosomal RNA is filed under the name uncultured bacterium. Its description in RNAcentral is "partial 16S ribosomal RNA". It matches the Rfam family "Bacterial small subunit ribosomal RNA", at positions 524 to 776 of the family's 1533-position model. The record is from RNAcentral.